RNAcentral lists this ribosomal RNA (497 nucleotides) under uncultured bacterium. RNAcentral describes it as "partial 16S ribosomal RNA". It matches the Rfam family "Bacterial small subunit ribosomal RNA", at positions 28 to 507 of the family's 1533-position model. The record is from RNAcentral.
GAUGAACGCUGGCGGCGUGCCUAAUACAUGCAAGUCGAGCGAACAGAUGAGGAGCUUGCUCCUCUGACGUUAGCGGCGGACGGGUGAGUAACACGUGGAUAACCUACCUAUAAGACUGGGAUAACUUCGGGAAACCGGAGCUAAUACCGGAUAAUAUAUUGAACCGCAUGGUUCAAUAGUGAAAGACGGUUUUGCUGUCACUUAUAGAUGGAUCCGCGCCGCAUUAGCUAGUUGGUAAGGUAACGGCUUACCAAGGCAACGAUGCGUAGCCGACCUGCGAGGGUGAUAGGCCACACUGGAACUGAGACACGGUCCAGACUCCUACGGGAGGAAGCAGUAGGGAAUCUUCCGCAAUGGGCGAAAGCCUGACGGAGCAACGCCGCGUGAGUGAUGAAGGUCUUCGGAUCGUAAAACUCUGUUAUUAGGGAAGAACAAAUGUGUAAGUAACUAUGCACGUCUUGACGGUACCUAAUCAGAAAGCCACGGCUAACUACGUG